This 76-nucleotide transfer RNA is filed under the name Actinomycetota bacterium. Its description in RNAcentral is "Actinobacteria bacterium tRNA-Thr". It matches the Rfam family "tRNA". From Rfam's summary of the family: Transfer RNA (tRNA) molecules are approximately 80 nucleotides in length. Lineage: Bacteria; Bacillati; Actinomycetota. The record is from RNAcentral. RNAcentral also lists the same sequence under 3 other names.
GCCCGAGUAGCUCAGUCGGUAGAGCGAUUCACUCGUAAUGAAUAGGUCCGCGGUUCAAUUCCGCGCUCGGGCUCCA